This 373-nucleotide long non-coding RNA is filed under the name Monodelphis domestica (gray short-tailed opossum). Its description in RNAcentral is "lncRNA (ENSMODG00000033268.2)". Lineage: Eukaryota; Metazoa; Chordata; Mammalia; Didelphimorphia; Didelphidae. The record is from RNAcentral.
GAUGCUUUGAAUUGUCUCACCUAGACCUCCAAGUUUCAGAUUUAGAAGUGAGUUUUCAAAUAUGAUGACUUUAUUUUAUUGAUUUGUUUUUGGUUUUUAUUUGUACAAGGAAAAGGAAUUAAUGAGUAACACUCAACAGGCAUGCAGAGUUCAUAGAAAGGAGACCAGGGAGAAGAAGCACCUUUCUUACCCCAUUUGUAAAGUCAGUGGGUUGGACUGGAUGAUCUGGAAGGCCCCUCCUGGCUCUUACUUCUAUGUAUGUGUAUUUCUGUGUAUAUGUGUAUAUACAUGUGUACAUACACAUAGACCCAUCUUUUACUGUUUGUAUAUGUACAUGCAUGUAGGUACAAACAUAUACAUGCCAUCCUCGCUC